Siniperca chuatsi (mandarin fish) is the source of this 985-nucleotide long non-coding RNA. RefSeq lists it as uncharacterized. The record is from RefSeq and is a predicted model, not a curated record. The transcript is spliced from 2 exons. NCBI's taxonomy places the organism in Eukaryota, Metazoa, Chordata, Actinopteri, Centrarchiformes, Sinipercidae.
AGUGACAGAUCUGCCUUCUCCCACACGGGCAGAGAAUUCAAGUAGCUCACCACGUCCUCGUCCAAGUAGGGAAAUCUGCAGAUGCCAGAGUUAUAUUUGUCAGAUAUUCUACCCUGAACAAUGGAGCAGGUGCAACAAAGCUACCAGGAGAGAGAGAGAUGCCAAUCAAACGGUCUGUAAACGCCCACAAAGACCUGAGAAAGGGUCUAAUCCAGGCACAAGUGAGAACACCUGUGGGUGAACCAUGGAUGUGAAGGGCCUUCAAAUAAAUACUGCUUAUCUGACAAACUUACAGUUUUACCUUUUACUCUCAGAGGAGAAAAGUUGAUUCCUGAAACUCAACUUGGUGCGCUGCCGCAAACAGUACUCUGUUCCAUUAGACUGAAGUCUCACAAUUUCUGACAAGAUGAAACCCGUCUCAUACCUAUUUAAGAUUAUAUUUGCCAGAUCAUGGUCAUAGGUAUAGACCAAUUUUCCUACAUUGUCCUGCUUUGUGCUCUGUUUGACGUAAUAGGCCUUUUUAAUGGACAGUGGACUGUUCCCUCAGCACUCAUGCCAGUGUAACAGCCCGGGGAACAGUUGCAUCAAAUCCCCUGCAUUGGUAAAAAGUUAAAUAGAGCUCAGAAGCCUUUGUUCCUGGAAAGAGCAAAGUCUGUUGUUUGUACUUCAAUAUAGUGACAAGUAGCAGCGCGCACAGCUCCAAAUCUUAAAACGCUGUAUUGGGUGGCAGCAAGGAUCAAAACAACCAGGCUGCCAGCACUCACAGAGAAAGUCUUUUUAUUUAUUGUGGGCAAAAACAAACAUGUUUCAGCUGGAAGCCAUCAUCAGCAUCAUCAAAACAGCAGGAAUGGCCAUCUAUAUAAACGUAUAAGGGAAUAUAUAAUUGCAUGUCAGUUUGAGCAGUACCCUCCCUGUCUCAAGCCCAGUAUUUGUAUUCUGCUGCCACUUUUUUCAUUUGUCUAAUACAAACCAUUUAUACUGUCAA